UGGGGAAUAUUGGACAAUGGGCGCAAACCUGAUCCAGCCAUGCCGCGUGAGUGAUGAAGGCCCUAGGGUUGUAAAGCUCUUUCACCGGUGAAGAUAAUGACGGUAACCGGAGAAGAAGCCCCGGCUAACUUCGUGCCAGCAGCCGCGGUAAUACGAAGGGGGCUAGCGUUGUUCGGAUUUACUGGGCGUAAAGCGCACGUAGGCGGACUAUUAAGUCAGGGGUGAAAUCCCGGGGCUCAACCCCGGAACUGCCUUUGAUACUGGUAGUCUUGAGUUCGAGAGAGGUGAGUGGAAUUCCGAGUGUAGAGGUGAAAUUCGUAGAUAUUCGGAGGAACACCAGUGGCGAAGGCGGCUCACUGGCUCGAUACUGACGCUGAGGUGCGAAAGCGUGGGGAGCAAACAGG
Molecule: ribosomal RNA, 404 nt
Filed under: Actinomycetes bacterium
Lineage: Bacteria; Bacillati; Actinomycetota; Actinomycetes
Description: Actinobacteria bacterium partial 16S ribosomal RNA
Rfam family: Bacterial small subunit ribosomal RNA
Source: RNAcentral